UACGUAGGGGGCAAGCGUUGUCCGGAUUCAUUGGGCGUAAAGAGCUCGUAGGCGGUGUGUCACGUCGGCCGUGAAAACCUGCAGCUUAACUGUGGGCGUGCGGUCGAUACGGGCAUCACUGGAGUUCGGCAGGGGAGACUGGAAUUCCUGGUGUAGCGGUGAAAUGCGCAGAUAUCAGGAGGAACACCAGUGGCGAAGGCGGUUCUCUGGGCCGAUACUGACGCUGAGGAGCGAAAGCGUGGGGAGCAAACAGG
This 254-nucleotide ribosomal RNA is filed under the name uncultured bacterium. Its description in RNAcentral is "partial 16S ribosomal RNA". It matches the Rfam family "Bacterial small subunit ribosomal RNA", at positions 524 to 776 of the family's 1533-position model. The record is from RNAcentral.